UACGAAGGGGGCUAGCGUUGCUCGGAAUCACUGGGCGUAAAGGGUGCGUAGGCGGGUCUUUAAGUCAGGGGUGAAAUCCUGGAGCUCAACUCCAGAACUGCCUUUGAUACUGGCAAUCUUGAGUCCGGGAGAGGUGAGUGGAACUCCUAGUGUAGAGGUGAAAUUCGUAGAUAUUAGGAAGAACACCAGUGGCGAAGGCGGCUCACUGGCCCGGUACUGACGCUGAUGUGCGAAAGCGUGGGGAGCAAACAGG
This 253-nucleotide ribosomal RNA is filed under the name uncultured bacterium. Its description in RNAcentral is "partial 16S ribosomal RNA". It matches the Rfam family "Bacterial small subunit ribosomal RNA", at positions 524 to 776 of the family's 1533-position model. The record is from RNAcentral.